Molecule: small nucleolar RNA, 102 nt
Organism: Felis catus (domestic cat)
Lineage: Eukaryota; Metazoa; Chordata; Mammalia; Carnivora; Felidae
Product: small nucleolar RNA U13
Exons: 1
Source: RefSeq, a predicted model, not a curated record
AUCCUUUUGUAAGUCAUAAGUGUGAUAAUUGAUGUUCAUGCUGUUUGUGACAUGUGCCUCCUUCAAACCUUGUAACAACUGCAGUGUAUUGUCCAUCUCAUG